GGCAGGGAGUCACGGUGACCGACAAGCCUCAUAAGCUUGUUUUUGUGGGUUCAACUCCCACCCCUGCAACCA
RNAcentral lists this transfer RNA (72 nucleotides) under Caudoviricetes sp. Its description in RNAcentral is "tRNA-Leu". It matches the Rfam family "tRNA". From Rfam's summary of the family: Transfer RNA (tRNA) molecules are approximately 80 nucleotides in length. Lineage: Duplodnaviria; Heunggongvirae; Uroviricota; Caudoviricetes. The record is from RNAcentral.